RNAcentral lists this ribosomal RNA (440 nucleotides) under uncultured bacterium. RNAcentral describes it as "partial 16S ribosomal RNA". It matches the Rfam family "Bacterial small subunit ribosomal RNA", at positions 338 to 795 of the family's 1533-position model. The record is from RNAcentral.
CCUACGGGUGGCAGCAGUAGGGAAUAUUGCGCAAUGGGGGAAACCCUGAAGCAGCAACGCCGCGUGGAGGAUGAAGGUUUUCGGAUUGUAAACUCCUUUUGUUAGAGAAGAAAAUGACGGUAUCUAACGAAUAAGCACCGGCUAAAGCCGUGCCAGCAGCCGCGGUAAUACGGAGGGUGCAAGCGUUACUCGGAAUCACUGGGCGUAAAGAGCGCGUAGGCGGGAUAGCAAGUCAGAUGUGAAAUCCUAUGGCUUAACCAUAGUACUGCAUUUGAGACUGUUAUUCUAGAAUAUGGGAGAGGUAGAUGGAAUUCUUGGUGUAGGGGUAAAAUCCGUAGAGAUCAAGAGGAAUACGCAUUGCGAAGGCGACCUGCUAGAACAUAACUGACGCUGAGGCGCGAAAGCGAGGGGAGCAAACAGGAUUAGAUACCCUGGUAGUC